This 425-nucleotide ribosomal RNA is filed under the name uncultured bacterium. RNAcentral describes it as "partial 16S ribosomal RNA". It matches the Rfam family "Bacterial small subunit ribosomal RNA", at positions 354 to 796 of the family's 1533-position model. The record is from RNAcentral.
GUGGGGAAUCUUAGACAAUGGGCGCAAGCCUGAUCUAGCCAUGCCGCGUGAGCGAUGAAGGCCUUAGGGUUGUAAAGCUCUUUCGCUGGGGAAGAUAAUGACUGUACCCAGUAAAGAAGCCCCGGCUAACUCCGUGCCAGCAGCCGCGGUAAUACGGAGGGGGCUAGCGUUGUUCGGAAUUACUGGGCGUAAAGUGCGCGUAGGCGGAUUGGAAAGUUGGGGGUGAAAUCCCGGGGCUCAACCUCGGAACUGCCUUCAAAACUCCCAGUCUUGAGUUCGAGAGAGGUGAGUGGAAUUCCGAGUGUAGAGGUGAAAUUCGUAGAUAUUCGGAGGAACACCAGUGGCGAAGGCGGCUCACUGGCUCGAUACUGACGCUGAGGUGCGAAAGCGUGGGGAGCAAACAGGAUUAGAUACCCGUGUAGUCC